AGUGAACGCUGGCGGUAGGCCUAACACAUGCAAGUCGAACGGCAGCACAGUAAUAGCUUGCUCUUACGGGUUGCGAGUGGCGGACGGGUGAGGAAUACAUCGGAAUCUACUCUUUCGUGGGGGAUAACGUAGGGAAACUUACGCUAAUACCGCAUACGACCUACGGGUGAAAGCAGGGGAUCUUCGGACCUUGCGCGAUUGAAUGAGCCGAUGUCGGAUUAGCUAGUUGGCGGGGUAAAGGCCCACCAAGGCGACGAUCCGUAGCUGGUCUGAGAGGAUGAUCAGCGACACUGGAACUGAGACACGGUCCUGACUCCUACGGGAGGCAGCAGUGGGGAAUAUUGGACAAUGGGCGCGAGCCUGGUCCAGCCAUACCACGUGGGUGAAGAAGGCCUUCGGGUUGUAAAGCCCUUUUGUUGGGAAAGAAAAGCAGCAGGUUAAUACCCAGCUGUUCUGACGGUACCCAAAAAAUAAGCACCGGCUAACUUCGUG
Molecule: ribosomal RNA, 492 nt
Filed under: uncultured bacterium
Lineage: Bacteria
Description: partial 16S ribosomal RNA
Rfam family: Bacterial small subunit ribosomal RNA
Source: RNAcentral